This 681-nucleotide ribosomal RNA is filed under the name uncultured beta proteobacterium. RNAcentral describes it as "bacterial SSU rRNA". It matches the Rfam family "Bacterial small subunit ribosomal RNA", at positions 202 to 865 of the family's 1533-position model. Lineage: Bacteria; Pseudomonadati; Pseudomonadota; Betaproteobacteria. The record is from RNAcentral.
AAAGCAGGGGACCUUCGGGCCUUGCGUUAUUCGAGCGGCCGAUAUCUGAUUAGCUAGUUGGUGGGGUAAAGGCCUACCAAGGCGACGAUCAGUAGCGGGUCUGAGAGGAUGAUCCGCCACACUGGGACUGAGACACGGCCCAGACUCCUACGGGAGGCAGCAGUGGGGAAUUUUGGACAAUGGGCGCAAGCCUGAUCCAGCCAUGCCGCGUGUCUGAAGAAGGCCUUCGGGUUGUAAAGGACUUUUGUCAGGGAAGAAAAGGCUGUUGCUAAUAUCGACAGCUGAUGACGGUACCUGAAGAAUAAGCACCGGCUAACUACGUGCCAGCAGCCGCGGUAAUACGUAGGGUGCGAGCGUUAAUCGGAAUUACUGGGCGUAAAGCGAGCGCAGACGGUUACUUAAGCAGGAUGUGAAAUCCCCGGGCUCAACCUGGGAACUGCGUUCUGAACUGGGUGACUUGAGUGUGUCAGAGGGAGGUAGAAUUCCACGUGUAGCAGUGAAAUGCGUAGAGAUGUGGAGGAAUACCGAUGGCGAAGGCAGCCUCCUGGGAUAACACUGACGUUCAUGCUCGAAAGCGUGGGUAGCAAACAGGAUUAGAUACCCUGGUAGUCCACGCCCUAAACGAUGUCAAUUAGCUGUUGGGCAACUUGAUUGCUUAGUAGCGUAGCUAACGCGUGAAAU